UAUUUUGUUGCUACCGAUAGCAAUUUUAAAGCAGAAAUUCUUGAUUCAAAUAAAGUUGCAUUGGUUGACUUUUGGGCUGCAUGGUG
RNAcentral lists this transfer RNA (86 nucleotides) under Chlorobium chlorochromatii CaD3. Its description in RNAcentral is "tRNA-Leu". Lineage: Bacteria; Pseudomonadati; Chlorobiota; Chlorobiia; Chlorobiales; Chlorobiaceae. The record is from RNAcentral.